This 497-nucleotide ribosomal RNA is filed under the name uncultured bacterium. RNAcentral describes it as "partial 16S ribosomal RNA". It matches the Rfam family "Bacterial small subunit ribosomal RNA", at positions 28 to 507 of the family's 1533-position model. The record is from RNAcentral.
GAUGAACGCUGGCGGCGUGCCUAAUACAUGCAAGUCGAGCGAACAGACGAGGAGCUUGCUCCUCUGACGUUAGCGGCGGACGGGUGAGUAACACGUGGAUAACCUACCUAUAAGACUGGGAUAACUUCGGGAAACCGGAGCUAAUACCGGAUAAUAUAUUGAACCGCAUGGUUCAAUAGUGAAAGACGGUUUUGCUGUCACUUAUAGAUGGAUCCGCGCCGCAUUAGCUAGUUGGUAAGGUAACGGCUUACCAAGGCAACGAUGCGUAGCCGACCUGAGAGGGUGAUCGGCCACACUGGAACUGAGACACGGCCCAGACUCCUACGGGAGGCAGCAGUAGGGAAUCUUCCGCGAAGGGCGAAAGCCUGACGGAGCAACGCCGCGUGAGUGAUGAAGGUCUUCGGAUCGUAAAACUCUGUUAUUAGGGAAGAACAAAUGUGUAAGUAACUAUGCACGUCUUGACGGUACCUAAUCAGAAAGCCACGGCUAACUACGUG